AUUGAACGCUGGCGGCAGGCCUAACACAUGCAAGUCGAACGGUAGCACAGAGAGCUUGCUCUCGGGUGACGAGUGGCGGACGGGUGAGUAACGUCUGGGAAACUGCCCGAUGGGGGGGGAUAACUACUGGAAACGGUAGCUAAUACCGCAUAACGUCGCAAGACCAAAGUGGGGGACCUUCGGGCCUCACACCAUCGGAUGUGCCCAGCUGGGAUUAGCUAGUAGGUGGGGUAAUGGCUCACCUAGGCGACGAUCCCUAGCUGGUCUGAGAGGAUGACCAGCCACACUAGAACUGAGACACGGUCCAGACUCCUACGGGAGGCAGCAGUGGGGAAUAUUGCACAAUGGGCGCAAGCCUGAUGCAGCCAUGCCGCGUGUAUGAAGAAGGCCUUCGGGUUGUAAAGUACUUUCAGCGGGGAGGAAGGCGGUGAAGUUAAUAGCUUCACCGAUUGACGUUACCCGCAGAAGAAGCACCGGCUAACUCCGUGCCAGCAGCCGCCGUAA
This 504-nucleotide ribosomal RNA is filed under the name uncultured bacterium. Its description in RNAcentral is "partial 16S ribosomal RNA". It matches the Rfam family "Bacterial small subunit ribosomal RNA", at positions 30 to 523 of the family's 1533-position model. The record is from RNAcentral.